Molecule: long non-coding RNA, 241 nt
Filed under: Homo sapiens (human)
Lineage: Eukaryota; Metazoa; Chordata; Mammalia; Primates; Hominidae
Description: HSALNT0327442
Source: RNAcentral
CACUUUGGGAGGCAGAGAUGGGUGGAUCACAAGGUCAGGAGAUCGAGACCAUCCUGGCUAACACGGUGAAACCCCGUCUCUACUAAAAAUACAAAAAAUUAGCUGGGUGUGGUGGCGGGUGCCUGUAGUCCCAGCUACUUGGGAGGCUGAGGCAGGAGAAUGGCGUGAACCCGGGAGGCGGAGCUUGCAGUGAGCCGAGAUCGCGCCACUGCACUCCAGCCUGGGCAACAGAGUGAGACUC